CUGCAAGCACUCUUAAGCACCAAGCCAUCUCUUCAGCCUCACAUAUAUUUAAACUCUUUAGACAAGCAUUAAAAAAAAAAUAAAAUCCACAAAUGAUUCUACUGUAUAGCGCAAGAACAAUAGAAUAAUAUGUUUUAAAACCCUCGGCUAUAUAUUAGCGUAAGUGGGACUCACUUUUGAUUUUACAGGCUGGGAUUUCAUUAAUAUACAGAGGUCUGAUUGUUUUAAUCCAAUAUGAGGCUUUUCUUUCUUACUUUUUAAGCAGCACCAUAAGGCUUUGUUUCCUUUGCAUAUGCUCUUAAACCUAACUCCAGAUUUCAUAGAUGCAACUUCAUAACCACUCAGCUUACAUUUAUAAUCUAGAACAGUGUCACAGAAUACAGUAUUUCUACUGCUGCCUGGCUUAGAGGACUUAAAACUCAAAAAGAUACACGUUUGUGCGUUCAAGCUUUACUCCUCUUGCUAAAACAUGCAAUCCUCUUCUCUCCUAAGGGACAAGCAUUCCUUAUUAUGCAAACUUAGAAUUUUUGAAUGUUUCAUUUUACCUCUUGAACAAGCAGGCACUUUUGGAACUUUUAGGCUAUUAGGAUGGGGAGGCUAAGUCUACUUUACAUCUAGAGAAACUUGGAUUCUGCUGACAGUUUACUCCAGGAGAAGACGCUGUGGGAACCAUCUUCAGUGUUGAGAGAAGUGAAAGGAAGUGAAACCCGGCCUGUCCUUCCUCUUCUGGAAUCAAGGAGGAAAGAAACUCAGCUCUCCACUGGGAUUAAGCUUCUCCGGGAUCCUGCAGGUAGGCCAGAAGUAGGACAGCCUCAGAGCAGGCUGUCAGAUCAUUCUUCACAGGAGGGUUUAGCCAGAAAGUUUAGGAAAACAUCAGUCAACAAAUAAUGGGAUUUUCAACUUACUUAAAUGAGUAGGAGACAGUCCAAUGAUCAAAGAUUAUUCUAAAAAAAGGGAGCACAAGAGGGGAGGACCAAAUAUUCUUGGUCUGAUUACUGUUUGAGAGGUGAAGAAGUGUAAUUGGAGCAUCUCUGUGUGUAAUGAUACUGUCUUUGGGCCUGGUGGCUGUAGUUUGUCACUCUUUGGCUACUGUGGUUUUAAGGAUAUGCGCCUGUCCUUCUCCACAGUGGGGUGUGUUCUGAAUGUCCUGUUAUCACCUUUGCAUUGCAGGCUUAGUUGUUUCUGAAAGCCACAUACCAGCAGCAAGCAAGUCCUGGGAUGAUGGUGAACUCCAGAUCUUCGUCCCCUGAUUCUCGAAUGCUGGAAUUACAGCCUGGCAUCAUGGUGCCCUGCAUGGAUGGCAUUCCUGUCACUGACCUUUGAGAGUUCUUUAUAUAUCCUCCAGUGCAUCUCGGUCAUCAGAUACAUGCUUUGUAAACACCUCUUCUAGAGGGCCCAAUUCAUCAAGUUAUUUGAGAGUCAGUUAAUCUAUGUUAGAAAGGUUUUUCUUCUUUUUUUUCUGUUUUCAGCAAGAAUGUGAAAAUUUCCAUGAGUAGGUGAUACUAUGAACUUUAUAAUUUCUCUCUGCUCCACACUGUGUGUGUGUGUGCAUGUGCUUGCGCUCAUGUUCGAGGUGGGAGGAAAGCUUGGAAUUGGCACAGAACACACCCAGACAUCAAAUUCUCAACACAAAGGAACUUUAUUACAAUGGGGUGGGAAGCAGCUGCCCCUGAAACAGGUUAAGAUACUAGCAGGUAUUUCUGCCAGAGUGGUUUUAAGUAGAAAAAGGGGAGCGUGUGCUAGGAUGAUGUCCUGAUUGGACAUGUUAGCCAGUGUUAAGCCAAAUAAUGAAUUUUGAUUGCUGGACCUUGGUAUUUAGUCUCAGGAAUAGAUCAGUAGCCAAAUAAAGGAAUAGACGUUGGGGGCUAGCUUUAGGAAUGUAAUCUAAUGGUUUAGCAAGGGAGAGGGAGGGAGAGGGAAAAGGCAAAACCUACUAGCACCACCGUUUGCCAUGCUUGGGCCUGUUAGAGAGCCCUUCACUUAGAGUCAGCACGUCAUUAUAAUUGUAAAAUACAGAGUUGUAUCUCCCUGGGAAGCUAGCUGUCCUGUCCUCUUUCCGGGGGAGCUCAUCUUUAUUUUCCAAGUGUGGGCGAAAUCACAUGUUCAUGAGCUCAGGUUCCAUUUCUGCCCGGAUGCCUUUCUUUGGAUUUCAGAGUAUAUUAGGUACGAGGAUACCUCAGCUCAUAUAUGGUUCAAGAAAUUAAUUAUGCAUCACUCAAUAAUCUGCACUCCUUAAGUUAGGGGGCACUCCAGGUUUCAACACAGCGCUGUGUGUACGUGCAGUGGAUAACGAAAAUUAUCGCAGUUUCAAGGUCAGUCGGCCAGGUCAUUUUGUUGGAUUUGCAGGCACCUUAGCCCGAAGAAAACGGACAUGGAGGGGGAGGUGAUGAGCGAGACACCCCGAAAUAGCCCAAGUGCCUUGAGGAGGACGGAAUAGCUACGUUUAACGACGCUACGCAUAAACUACUCUCGUGGUGGAAUCUGUGGGUUAGUGAUGGUUCUCCACGAGAAAGACGAGGAAAUCCAAGGUGCUCUCUUUUCACGCCGUCUAUCUCAAUUGAGCUUGGAGUAGACGCAGUCUGGGCGCGGUGUAACGUCAUUCUUUUAAUUCCAGCACGGCUUGAAACUCAAACUAUCCGAUCUGAGUAAGAUAUAGAGAAUAGGGUGAGGAUCUCAAUUUACUUUUAAUUUAAUUUAAUCUGUGUUCCUUCCGGGUUUCGCCUUGACGACCCCUUCCCUUCUCCAUGUCUCAAACCUCGCGUCCUGGAAAACUUAAGAAUGUAGGUCCACCUGCUCAAACACUGUCCCAAAGCUGCACUUCCCGGCCUUCCUCUACUCUCUAACUCUAAAUUUUAUCUGGAUUUUUGUUUAGUAUCGGUUUCAAAUAUGUAAGUUUCUCAGCCCGCUUUCUCGAGUCAGUCUCUGUCCCUACUCUCACCACUCCCGGAAGUGCUCAGAGACAGAAGUAUAGCCAACUGUGGAGCCCGGCUCCGGGCGGGGACGGGUGGUUGCGGAUGAGCCAAUAAAAUAUUGAUCAAUUUU
This 3042-nucleotide long non-coding RNA is filed under the name Mus musculus (house mouse). Its description in RNAcentral is "predicted gene 11290". The record is from RNAcentral. Lineage: Eukaryota; Metazoa; Chordata; Mammalia; Rodentia; Muridae.